Molecule: small nucleolar RNA, 73 nt
Organism: Scophthalmus maximus (turbot)
Lineage: Eukaryota; Metazoa; Chordata; Actinopteri; Pleuronectiformes; Scophthalmidae
Gene: SNORD1C
Product: small nucleolar RNA, C/D box 1C
Source: Ensembl
CAGUACUUAUGAUGAGUUUGUUAUCCCUGUCUGAAAAAACUAAAUGUUGAAACCAAUGGUAUCUGACCUGCUG